This 500-nucleotide ribosomal RNA is filed under the name uncultured bacterium. RNAcentral describes it as "partial 16S ribosomal RNA". It matches the Rfam family "Bacterial small subunit ribosomal RNA", at positions 29 to 507 of the family's 1533-position model. The record is from RNAcentral.
AAUCAACGCUGGCGGCGUGCCUAACACAUGCAAGUCGAACGCGAAAGCCCCGCAAGGGGUAAGUAGAGUGGCAAACGGGUGAGUAACACGUGGGUGACCUGCCUUCGAGUGGGGGAUAACGUCCCGAAAGGGACGCUAAUACCGCAUGACAUCCUGCUUUUGAAAAAGCGGAGAUCAAAGCUGGGGAUCGCAAGACCUAGCGCUUGAAGAGGGGCCCGCGCCUGAUUAGCUAGUUGGUGAGGUAACGGCUCACCAAGGCGACGAUCAGUAUCCGGCCUGAGAGGGCGGACGGACACACUGGGACUGAGACACGGCCCAGACUCCUACGGGAGGCAGCAGUGGGGAAUUGUUCGCAAUGGGCGCAAGCCUGACGACGCAACGCCGCGGGGAGGACGAAGAUCUUCGGGUCGUAAACUCCUGUCGAGCGGGACGAACGCUUCGCGGAUGAAUAAUCCGCGGAAUUGACGGUACCGCUAAAGGAAGCCCCGGCUAACUCCGUG